AACUUCUUGGGGACUGUGUUUACAGGAGAAAUGUCACAAUCCUGAACAACGGGGCAAAAGUGGAGACCGUAACGUAUGAGAAAGCUGCCUGGGCAGGCACAAGAGAUGUAACCUCCUGAAUUUUUUGCCUUGUAGGAGACUCAAUCAGAAGGAUCUCAGAACUCUCAAGAAAAGAGAAUGAAUGUUGCUAACAGGAAGACAACGACUAUUCCACAAGAAAAACAUCACCUACCAUCACCUGCCAGGUGCACUUCUGUCUACAUCACCCAAAGGAGCUACUUGGAAAUGAAUGUCAAACACUAAUAACAUUUUGUGUUAUUUACUCUGCUCAUAUUAACACAUUGUAAGUUGUUCUUGCUACUUUGUCAAGUUUCCAUGAGAGAACUCACAACUCAUUGUCCACCUGUACAUCCAGAGUCCUGAGUCACAGUUAAUUGCAUUUCUGCACCUAAAUCCCCAUCUGCCACUGUCAAAGUUUAAUUUUGGAAAGCUGCACGCAAAUACAUUUAACCUUAGUGGAAAUGCAUAUUCCAACAAUGUUUACUCUCCUCACUCAUCCUUGGGCUGAUUUUAAAAAAACAGGUUGCAGAGGAAGGCAGGGUGGUUUUGCCCAUUGUUACAGUGGGGGAUGGAGACAUUUCCAUUUGGUAUUUCCUUUUAAACUGGAUGUUGAAUCUCCAGCUAAUGUAGUUGCACUGGUCUCUGCCAUUCACUGCAGCUGGCCCAAGACUUCCAGUAAACACCUCACAGAGCAAUGGUUUUGUCCAAACAAGUAGGCCAACAAAGCUCAAGGCAUGAAAUGCCCAACUGAGUAAAUACUUAGCACAUACAAGAUAAAGGAGACCUUUAAGCCCAGAAAAGCAAGCCUUGCCUACAGUUACUGUUAGGGUACUUUAUCAAUUAACGAUUGUUAUGCUGUUAGAAUUGUUCCAAAAUACUAGUUUUACUCAUCUCUGCCUGUGAACCGGGAGAGACGUGGUCUGUGGAGGAGAAAGGAGCAGCAAAAAUCAGUGACAUCUCUUGAUAAUGUCCAUCAGGUACUUUUAUAGAGGAAAGCCAAAGACCAAGAGCCCAAGCCAGAGUUGCUGGAAUGGUCUCACAGAAUGAUUCGGUUUUUCUGUGUUCAAAAAACCUAAAGUGCUGAUUAAAUUUUUUGCCCAGGCCAACUUUACUUCUAAUUGCCCUAAAAGAGCAAGGGAAGGGCCAGCCCUGCUGUCUGGAAAAACUUCUUCAGUUUUCUUUUUUUCCCCUGCCCUUUUCUUCAAGAAUGUUUGUUCAGGGUUUUGCAAGGAAUUUAACAAUGCAAAGAGAACUCCUUUUGAAAUCAUUUAUUCAGAAAUACGUUGAACAAUUCUCUCCAUUUCUGAUCUUACAUUUUAUGCAGGUGAAAGAAAGAUCAGAAAGGAGGAAAAACCUGUACUACAGGCAAACUCUCUGUACAGAGCAAGCUGAUCCUGUCUCCAAACAAGCACAUUCCCUGUCCCUCCUGUCAUGCUUCAUGUCAGUUUUAGUAGCCUGGUUUUGGGGUUCAAUCUCAUUAUGGCAGCUUAGAGGAGAAGGUGAUGUGGUGUUCUGUUGAGGUGAUAGGAUCCUUGAAUUUGUUUGUCUGUCUCCUCCAAAAUAUGAAACCAAACACUGUUUCUGUUUCCCCUUUUUGCACUUGUUCUCCCUAGUGGAGUCCAGUCUCCUUUCAUUUUCCAAACUGUUCAUGCAAAUUAUUUGUGCACAGAGAUGUAGCAUUGGUUAAAUUCAUUUGUCCAUGAUGAGGUCUUGCAGUAUUUUCAGAGCUGAAUACAUCCAUACAAAAGAUAUUUCUAUGAAUAUAAAAA
Molecule: long non-coding RNA, 1829 nt
Organism: Pipra filicauda (Wire-tailed manakin)
Lineage: Eukaryota; Metazoa; Chordata; Aves; Passeriformes; Pipridae
Exons: 2
Source: RefSeq, a predicted model, not a curated record